CGGGAGACCGAGAGGGCAGGACCAGCUGCUCACAGGAGAGUGUCUUCCUCUUCUUCAAGAUGUACAGAACCAAAGUGGGCUUGAAGGACCGCCAGCAGCUCUACAAGCUGAUCAUUAGCCAGUUGCUCUACGAUGGCUACAUCAGCAUUGCUAAUGGCCUUAUCAAUGAAAUUAAGCCACAGUCUGACUGUGCACCCUCCAAGCAGCUCCUGCAUCUCAUCAAACUAGGAAUGAAAAGUGAUGAUACUGCAGUUCAGUAUGCAAUUGGUCAUUCAGAUACAGUUGCCCCUGGCACAAGGAUUGACCUGGAGUUUGAUGCAGAUGUACAGACAAUGUCCCCAGAGGCUUCCGAGUAUGAAAUGUACUAUGUCACGUCCCAUAAAGGACUAUGUUGUGUGGCUACCUAUAGUAGAGAUGGGCAGUUAAUAGCUACUGGGUCAGCUGAUGCUUCCAUAAAGAUACUUGACCCAGAGAGAAUGUUGGCCAAAAGUACCAUGCCAGCAGAGGUCAUGAUGAAUGAGACUGCACAACAGAAUAUGGAAAACCACCCAGUGAUUCAAACUCUUUAUGACCACGUGGAUGAAGUCAUAUGUCUCGCUCUCCACCCAACAGAACAGAUCCUGGCUUCUGGGUCAAGGGAUUAUACUCUUAAAUUAUUUGAUUAUUCCAAACCAUCCACAGAAAGAGCCUUCAAAUAUAUCCUGGAGGCUGAAAUGCUACGCUCCGUCUCUUUUCAUCCUUCUGGAGACUUUAUACUUGUUGGAACUCAGCAUCCUACUCUUCACCUUUAUGACAUCAACACCUUUCAGUGUUUUGCCUCUUGCAAUCCUCAAGAUCAACACCCUGAUGCAAUAUGUUCCAUGAAUUACAAUCCUGGUGCCAAUAUGUAUGUAACUGAAAGCAAGGACGGCUGCAUCAAAUUAUGGGAUGGUGUUUCAAAUCGAUGCUUCACAACUUUUGAGAAAGCACAUGACGGUGCUAGAGUUUGUUCUGCAAUUUUUUCCAAAAAUUCUAAAUAUAUUCUCUCAAGUGGAAAAGACUCUGUAGCUAAACUUUGGGAAAUAUCAACAGGAAGAACACUGGUCAGAUACAUGGGCGCGGGUCUGAGUGGACGGCAGGUGCAUCGGACACAGGCCGUGUUUAACCACACCAAGGACUAUGUGUUACUGCCUGAUGAAAGGACAAUCAGUCUGUGCUGCUAGGACUCAAGGAUGGCUGAGCGAAGAAACCUGCUCUCCUUGGGGCACAACAACAUCGUGCGCUGCAUCGUGCACUCGCCCACCAACCCUGGAUUCAUGAUGUGCAGCGAUGACUUCAGAGCACGGUUUUGGUACCGGAGGUCAACCAUCGACUAA
This is an RNA transcript of Carlito syrichta (Philippine tarsier), 1355 nucleotides long. It is a transcript of the gene named cleavage stimulation factor subunit 1 pseudogene, with no coding region annotated. The transcript has a single exon. NCBI's taxonomy places the organism in Eukaryota, Metazoa, Chordata, Mammalia, Primates, Tarsiidae. The record is from RefSeq and is a predicted model, not a curated record.